UACGUAGGUGGCAAGUGUUGUCCGGAUUUAUUGGGUUUAAAGGGUGCGUAGGCGGUAAUUUAUGUCAGUGGUGAAAUACGGCAGCUUAACUGUCGAGGUGCCAUUGAUACUGGAUUACUUGAGUACUGAUGAGGUAGGCGGAAUGGACGGUGUAGCGGUGAAAUGCUUAGAGAUCGUCCAGAACACCGAUAGCGAAGGCAGCUUACUAAGGAGUAACUGACGCUGAGGCACGAAAGUGUGGGGAUCAAACAGG
This 253-nucleotide ribosomal RNA is filed under the name uncultured prokaryote. RNAcentral's name for it is "partial 16S ribosomal RNA". It matches the Rfam family "Bacterial small subunit ribosomal RNA", at positions 524 to 776 of the family's 1533-position model. The record is from RNAcentral.